GGCUUGCUGACACGCCGAUAAAACCUUAUGAACCAGACUCCCCAGACUUUUCCUUUGCUUGUUGGACUGGACGAGACAUGGCAUUAAGAUCCAGCUGCCACUGUAAAGAGCCAGGUCCUGCUAAUUCCUGGUGGAACCUCCAUCUGUGGUGCUCUCCUGGCACUACUGUACUGCAUCAAGAGCUCCUGAGGUCACGUGCUAAAAGCAUCAUGGAAGGAGUGAUAAAAAAAAGCUGGUGCCGGGAUGAAGAAU
RNAcentral lists this long non-coding RNA (252 nucleotides) under Ficedula albicollis (Collared flycatcher). RNAcentral's name for it is "lncRNA (ENSFALG00000026848.1)". The record is from RNAcentral. Lineage: Eukaryota; Metazoa; Chordata; Aves; Passeriformes; Muscicapidae.